CAAGCUCCAAGCAGCAGCAAUAAGCAAAAAGUACGGCAAAAGCUCCGUAAGCCCACAGCAAGAAUUGUGUGUUGUGAAAAAAAUGCACACUCAAUUGUCCUAAAAAUAGGGGUCAAUUACUUCCUAAUGCUAUAAGGGAAAUACAUACCCAAAUAGCAAAAGAAAAAUCAAAACAAGGAAGCACAUUCAACCCAAAAAAACAAAUAAGCAAAUUCCAAAACAAUGACAAGUUUUAGCCAAUCUGCGCAAGCUGGACGUUUUUUGGUGAUAAUUCAAUUUUCCAGAGGAGUUUUGGAUGCAAGGCCAAUUGGAGAAGGAAGCUAAGUGGCUGAGGAUCAUUGUAUCCAAAUUUCAUAAUUU
Molecule: long non-coding RNA, 360 nt
Filed under: Malus domestica (apple)
Lineage: Eukaryota; Viridiplantae; Streptophyta; Magnoliopsida; Rosales; Rosaceae
Description: long non-coding RNA (MDOM_LNC003705)
Source: RNAcentral